UCUAUCAAAGGAGAAUAGUUACCCCACUGGUCUUAGG
RNAcentral lists this transfer RNA (37 nucleotides) under Crotalus scutulatus (Mojave rattlesnake). Its description in RNAcentral is "partial tRNA-Leu". The record is from RNAcentral. Lineage: Eukaryota; Metazoa; Chordata; Lepidosauria; Squamata; Viperidae.